Molecule: long non-coding RNA, 145 nt
Organism: Octodon degus (degu)
Lineage: Eukaryota; Metazoa; Chordata; Mammalia; Rodentia; Octodontidae
Exons: 3
Source: RefSeq, a predicted model, not a curated record
UUAAUAUGCUGAGCUAUUUGGCCUUAUUCAGGUCAGACAUUCCAGACUCCGUGUCCUAUGUCUUCCACAGGCUAAUAAAGCUUGUGUGUCUUGCCUUGGCCUCCUUGAGUAAAUAUUUGACCUUUGCUGCAACAAAGUGACAGCU